ACGAGAAAGUCUCCGCAAGGGGAUGAGUAAAGUGGCGACCGGGUGAGUAACACGUAGCUAACCUACCCUCGAGUGGGGGAUAACCUGGGGAAACCUGGGCUAAUACCGCAUCACAUCCCGAUGGCGCAAGCCGUUGGGAGCAAAGGCCCGCAAGGGCCGCUGGAGGAGGGGGCUGCGGCCGAUUAGCUAGUUGGUGAGGUAAUGGCCCACCAAGGCGAUGAUCGGUAGCCGGCCUGAGAGGGCGCACGGCCACACUGGCACUGACACACGGGCCAGACUCCUACGGGAGGCAGCAGUGGGGAAUUUUGCACAAUGCCCGAAAGGGUGAUGCAGCAACGCCGCGUGAGGGAUGAAGGCCUUCGGG
This 364-nucleotide ribosomal RNA is filed under the name uncultured bacterium. Its description in RNAcentral is "bacterial SSU rRNA". It matches the Rfam family "Bacterial small subunit ribosomal RNA", at positions 66 to 422 of the family's 1533-position model. The record is from RNAcentral.